GGCAGGGCCAGCCCAGGGGAGCACAGGUGCAUGCAGUGUAAUGUAAUGCAAUACAAGGUACCUGAGUGACUAGAAAGGCUGGAACCAGGAUCCACCCAGACUCCAUUUAAGGGCUGGCAAUGGAGGUGAAUGUAUUUCAUCUGGAGGUCUCUGCCUAUAUGAAGGUCUUUCUGAAGUUUCAAUUACAAGAUUUUAUUCCUGCUAUUAAUUUUCACUGUCAUCUGAAAUCUAAGGAUCUGAUGUAAUAAAGUUCAAUUGUGGGGGGAAUUGGAAGCUUCUCUGCUGUUUGCUGUGUUCAGUCAAGAAGUGCACACUUCUAAAUCAAUGGAAAUCCUAGCAAGUAUUGUACAGAGGUUACCAGAAAUGUUAAAAAUGCUUCUUUAUAUAAAUAAUGCUAUGAGGUUUGCCUUAAAUGAGCUCACUAUUGCUGACUGUUUACUACCAACUCUAAAUUAACUUUUCUGUGACCGACUUGCUCUUGUUGGGAUGCUGGUCCAUGCUGGGAAAGGCAGCAAGGGGCAGCACCACUGCGCUGGGACUCUGUGCUCUUGGCUUUAGUUUCUUUGUGCUCCCUUCCCUGCAAAACAGCAAGUCUUUUGCACUUGGACCUUGAUGCCAGCAGCUGCCAAUCUGAGUGUAGGGGCUGUAGGGGUGAAGAGGAUCUGAAGAGAGGAAUUUACUGGGCUGCCUUUAUGCUCACCUUCUUCUCUGGGCUCCUGAAAUCAUCGUCAAUAUACAGCCAAAUGAAACCUCUAGUCUUAGAAAAUAAAAAAUGAGAAGAAAUCAGAGCUCUUUCAAGUGCUGACAGAAAUGAAAGAUAACUCCGGUUUCAGCUGCCUGCAAGAAUCUUUGUGUUAUGAUCCAUCAAUCCCUCUACUCCACCGACUAGCACCAAAACAUACGCUUUGUUUUUCACAUCACCCCAAAGAGAAUUUGGCAUCAGCUGCUGGCUAAAGCACUGCAAAGGUAGCUUUGUGCAGGAUAGAAGAAAUGAGUGACAGGUUGCACAUCUAGAACCCCACUGGGUUCCAUCCCACAGCUCCAUGGCCUGCAGCUCUGAUCAGCAACAGCACAUGUGAAGGACUGGAGAGCAGCAUUAGCUGAAGCUGGGUUCUAUUAUUUGUUGGAUGAACUAUUUGCUAUAGAAGGCAGAUGGGAAACUUAGAACACUUAUGAAUAUGCAUUUCUGAUUUUGUCUGUUUUCCCAUUAUGUCAUCAUGUGGCAUUAGUAAGCAGUCACUUCUAAUUGACUUUAAAAUCCAUUGCAAAGAGGCUUUGAAAAGCACAGGAAGCCUGUCCCACUGGUGUGGUGUGGUACCAGCCCCAUGUGGGCCAGGAGUGCUGCACUGACUGUUGGGCCAUCCCAUUCCAUCUUCAUGGGGCAGGUGCUGGAGCUGGGCUGACACCAGAGCUGCACUGGGUUCUGUGCGGCUCUGUUGGAGUUUCAGCAUUUUCCAGGCACCUUGGGAAUAGUCAGAGGCAGAGGGUUUGCAGGUUGGUCAUCCUAAGGGACGUGACUUCACCUCCAUUUAUACCACAGAGUAUUCAUUUUUAAAAAGCACCAUCCUCUCAAAAAAUGCCCUCCAGCUUUCUGUUCUGCACACCCAGCCCCACGUGGCCAUGUGCUCUGAGCUCAGGCUGCCCCAGCUCUGCUCCAUUCCCCAGCUGCCAACAGCACAGCACUGGGCAGGAAGGUGGCUUCACUGCCAAACUGCUUCCCACACACACUGCUCACAUGAAUGACCCAUAUUUGUUGCAAGCGUGAAAUUAUUUUUAUACUUGUGAAAAGAGCAUGAAUAGGAGGGCCCUAUGCCAUUUUUGUGUGGCAGUUCCCAGGCACUGCAAACACUGUGGCCCUUCUCCAGGCCCAGCCUGCUGAGAGCAAGUGAUGAAAGUGGGACAUGAGGAGAGGGUAAGGAAGAAAUCAUCUCUAAUAGGAUUUUAACAAAGUUAUCAGUUUUGUGUUUAAGCCACUAAAGACACGAUACUGACAACAGCACAAAUGAAUUAUAAGUCUGCAACACAAACACUCCUGAAAUUUUUGUAUUUACAUGGCAACCAGCUUAUUAUAUUUACAUGAACAUCUGCUGCAGGUUCACAAAAAUCUUUAAAACAGAUGGACAUGAAGAAUGAGCUAGUAAUUAACAAAGCUAUAUGUUGAUUAAAUCAGCGUGUGGUUAAUUUUAAUGAUUACUGAUCCUUAUUGGGGUCCAUAAGACUUGUCAAUACCAAAACCACUUCAGCUGAUGAACCACAGCCACAGAGCACCACACUCCUCGCUGUCCUGAUCCUGCUCCAGUGGAAUUAAUUGGAGCAAGUAAUUGUGGGCCCAUGCCAGAAAGGACUGUUGUGAGCACCCGUUGUUCUUUGAACAUAGAAACUUUCCAGAAUGGGUUUCUUUUGAGCUAGAGCGGCCCCUACAGAAAGCCACAACCCAGUGCCCCCAUUAAGAUGUUUUUGGCAAUGAGGAGCCUUCUGGUAGGAUGUUCUUGUCGCUGGAGUACACC
Gallus gallus (chicken) is the source of this 2507-nucleotide long non-coding RNA. The record is from Ensembl. NCBI's taxonomy places the organism in Eukaryota, Metazoa, Chordata, Aves, Galliformes, Phasianidae.